UACGAAGGGUGCAAGCGUUAAUCGGAAUUACUGGGCGUAAAGGGUGCGUAGGCGGUUGUUUAAGUCUGUCGUGAAAUCCCCGGGCUCAACCUGGGAAUGGCGAUGGAUACUGGGCAGCUAGAGUGUGUCAGAGGAUGGUGGAAUUCCCGGUGUAGCGGUGAAAUGCGUAGAGAUCGGGAGGAACAUCAGUGGCGAAGGCGGCCAUCUGGGGACAACACUGACGCUAGAGACGAAAGCGUGGG
Molecule: ribosomal RNA, 242 nt
Filed under: uncultured bacterium
Lineage: Bacteria
Description: partial 16S ribosomal RNA
Rfam family: Bacterial small subunit ribosomal RNA
Source: RNAcentral